Molecule: non-coding RNA, 74 nt
Organism: Podarcis lilfordi (Lilford's wall lizard)
Lineage: Eukaryota; Metazoa; Chordata; Lepidosauria; Squamata; Lacertidae
Source: the annotation of a GenBank genome assembly
GCUGUGGAUAGCUCAGACAGUAGAGAAUGAGACUCGAAAUCCCAAUGUCAUGAGUUCGAGUCUCACGAUGAGUG